GACGAACGCUGGCGGCGUGCUUAACACAUGCAAGUCGAACGGAAAGGCCCUGCUUUUGUGGGGUGCUCGAGUGGCGAACGGGUGAGUAACACGUGAGUAACCUGCCCUUGACUUUGGGAUAACUUCAGGAAACUGGGGCUAAUACCGGAUAGGAGCUCCUGCUGCAUGGUGGGGGUUGGAAAGUUUCGGCGGUUGGGGAUGGACUCGCGGCUUAUCAGCUUGUUGGUGGGGUAGUGGCUUACCAAGGCUUUGGCGGGUAGCCGGCCUGAGAGGGUGACCGGCGACAUUGGGACUGAGAUACGGCCCAGACUCCUAUGGGAGGCAGCAGUGGGGAAUAUUGCACAAUGGGCGGAAGCCUGAUGCAGCAACGCCGCGUGCGGGAUGACGGCCUUCGGGUUGUAAACCGCAUUCGCCUGUGACGAAGCGUGAGUGACGGUAAUGGGUGAAGAAGCACCGGCUAACUACGUG
Molecule: ribosomal RNA, 468 nt
Filed under: uncultured bacterium
Lineage: Bacteria
Description: partial 16S ribosomal RNA
Rfam family: Bacterial small subunit ribosomal RNA
Source: RNAcentral